CUCCGCGGGGCCGAGGCCGCGCGCCUAGAGCGGCCCCACCGCCGCCAUCGCGGACAAGGGCGGGGAGGUAGGCGUCACCUCGAGAGCCAGUUCUGGCCGACGCGCCUCCGACUCGCGUGGCCGCUCGACUUUGAGUCUCCCAGGACAGGUGUUUUAAGUUCACGGUUGGAGGUGGUGCAAGCCAAGCUCAGGAGUGGCUCCAGACGUUUUCAAAAUUCCUGCCAGGAGCCAAGAUGUCGGCCUCAGGGCCUGGGGACAAUCUAGCCUCUCGCCCCUCUAUGUGGCCGGCGGAGCUGUUUCGCGCUUGUUGCCGACAGUACUACUAAGACGCUCCAGAGCCUUGCCGCGGGGACCGUCCCCAGGCCCCGUCCUGUGUCUGCAGGCCCGACAGAAAUGAAGCCGUUCUAAAGGAGACGUUCAGACUUUGGAGAAACGGACCCCGGAGAAAUGGGGAUUUUCCUGGGAACGUCAUGCUGGGAGAAGGAAGAAGCGCCCGGAAGAGCGGAGCUUGUCUCCCACAGAGAUUUCACACAGCUCCCACGACCUGUCAGUACCUCACGGACUGAGGCCCAGACGAGGACGGGUCGGUGGUG
Long non-coding RNA from Peromyscus maniculatus bairdii (prairie deer mouse), 593 nucleotides. RefSeq lists it as uncharacterized. NCBI's taxonomy places the organism in Eukaryota, Metazoa, Chordata, Mammalia, Rodentia, Cricetidae. The record is from RefSeq and is a predicted model, not a curated record.